This 610-nucleotide unclassified non-coding RNA is filed under the name Hevea brasiliensis (rubber tree). Lineage: Eukaryota; Viridiplantae; Streptophyta; Magnoliopsida; Malpighiales; Euphorbiaceae. The record is from RNAcentral.
AGCAAUCUUGGUCCUGAUCUGCAAGAUACAUCAAUUGACAUUUGAUUUAGAAUUCAGUGAUGAUCUUGGGCAAAAAAAAUGCAUGGAAAAAAGAACACAGCAAGCAUGAACAACUUGAUACCCCAAAUGCACCUUCAAUAGUCCAAACUUCUACUAAUCUCAAUUAAGCCCCAGUUCAGGAUGGCUACUUGGCUCCUUUGCUACUAUACCAUUUUUUUAGGGCCAAACUUCUGUUUGUUGCUGUGAUACUAAACCAAAUUACUCCAAAUACUUCAAAAUAAAAAGCCUAAUAGAAAAUAUUGAAUUACUUUAUCUCUUUUUCCAAGUCACAAAAAAGCAGGAAAGGUUCUUUUCACAACUAAAUAAUUGUUUUUAUCAUAUAUUAUACCAUUUCCAAACAGGUAACUCAUAGUCACAAAGUUGCCCCAUUCACAUUCAAAGCAUAGAUAGUCAGCAGCAAACAAACAUAGAGAACUGGAAAAUACAGCAACAAUCCCAAUUUCCAUGUUAGUAAUCUACAGUAUACCAUUCUAGAUCCAAGUGGUUCAAUAAAACACUCAAUGCUGAGAAACAUUGUCCAUAAUGGUUUACAUUGAUUUCUUAUUAUAAU